UAAUCAAAACUUGGUCAUUCCUGUAGGCAC
RNAcentral lists this unclassified non-coding RNA (30 nucleotides) under Dictyostelium discoideum. Lineage: Eukaryota; Evosea; Eumycetozoa; Dictyosteliales; Dictyosteliaceae. The record is from RNAcentral.